ACCUGUACCCAUGCCGAACACAGAAGUUAAGCCCUAGAACGCCGGAAGUAGUUGGGGGUUGCCCCCUGUGAGAUAGGGAAGUCGCUUAGC
RNAcentral lists this ribosomal RNA (90 nucleotides) under Streptococcus pneumoniae. Lineage: Bacteria; Bacillati; Bacillota; Bacilli; Lactobacillales; Streptococcaceae. The record is from RNAcentral.